RNAcentral lists this ribosomal RNA (468 nucleotides) under uncultured bacterium. RNAcentral describes it as "partial 16S ribosomal RNA". It matches the Rfam family "Bacterial small subunit ribosomal RNA", at positions 28 to 507 of the family's 1533-position model. The record is from RNAcentral.
GACGAACGCUGGCGGCGUGCUUAACACAUGCAAGUCGAACGGAAAGGCCCUGCUUUUGUGGGGUGCUCGAGUGGCGAACGGGUGAGUAACACGUGAGUAACCUGCCCUUGACUUUGGGAUAACUUCAGGAAACUGGGGCUAAUACCGGAUAGGAGCUCCUGCUGCAUGGUGGGGGUUGGAAAGUUUCGGCGGUUGGGGAUGGACUCGCGGCUUAUCAGCUUGUUGGUGGGGUAGUGGCUUACCAAGGCUUUGACGGGUAGCCGGCCUGAGAGGGUGACCGGCCACAUUGGGACUGAGAUACGGCCCAGACUCCUACGGGAGGCAGCAGUGGGGAAUAGUGCGCAAUGGGCGGAAGCCUGAUGGAGCAACGCCGCGUGCGGGAUGACGGCCUUCGGGUUGUAAACCGCUUUCGCCUGUGACGAAGCGUGAGUGACGGUAAUGGGUAAAGAAGCACCGGCUAACUACGUG